ACGCACGCUGGCGGCGUGCUUAACCCAUGCAAGUCGAACGGAAAGGCCCUGCUUGCAGGGUCCUCGAGUGGCGAACGGGUGAGUAACACGUGGGUGAUCUGCCCUGCACUUCGGGAUAAGCCUGGGAAACUGGGUCUAAUACCGGAUAGGAGCCAUUUUUAGUGUGAUGGUUGGAAAGUUUUUUCGGUGUAGGAUGAGCUCGCGGCCUAUCAGCUUGUUGGUGGGGUAAUGGCCUACCAAGGCGGCGACGGGUAGCCGGCCUGAGAGGGUGGACGGCCACAUUGGGACUGAGAUACGGCCCAGACUCCUACGGGAGGCAGCAGUGGGGAAUAUUGCACAAUGGGCGCAAGCCUGAUGCAGCGACGCCGCGUGGGGGAUGACGGCCUUCGGGUUGUAAACUCCUUUCGCUAGGGACGAAGCUUUUUGUGACGGUACCUAGAUAAGAAGCACCGGCUAACUACGUG
Molecule: ribosomal RNA, 464 nt
Filed under: uncultured bacterium
Lineage: Bacteria
Description: partial 16S ribosomal RNA
Rfam family: Bacterial small subunit ribosomal RNA
Source: RNAcentral